RNAcentral lists this ribosomal RNA (292 nucleotides) under uncultured bacterium. RNAcentral's name for it is "partial 16S ribosomal RNA". The record is from RNAcentral. RNAcentral also lists the same sequence under 1 other name.
GGACUACCAGGGUUUCUAAUCCUGUUUGCUCCCCACGCUUUCGUGCCUGAACGUCGGUACUGGACCAGGAAGCCGCUUUCGCCACUGGUGUUCCUUCAGAUAUCUACGCAUUUCACCGCUACACCUGAAAUUCCGCUUCCCUCUUCCGUACCCUAGCUACACAGUCUCGAAUGCAAUUCCCAGGUUGAGCCCGGGGCUUUCACACCCGACUUAUGUAACCGUCUGCGCACGCUUUACGCCCAGUAAUUCCGAUUAACGCUUGCACCCUCUGUAUUACCGCGGCUGCUGGCAC